This 253-nucleotide ribosomal RNA is filed under the name uncultured bacterium. RNAcentral's name for it is "partial 16S ribosomal RNA". It matches the Rfam family "Bacterial small subunit ribosomal RNA", at positions 524 to 776 of the family's 1533-position model. The record is from RNAcentral.
GACGUAGGAUGCAAGCGUUGUCCGGAUUUAUUGGGCGUAAAGAGUUCGUAGGUGGUUUGUUAAGUCUGAUGUUAAAGACUGGGGCUCAACCUCGGAAAUGCAUUGGAUACUGGCAGACUUGAGUGUGGUAGAGGCAAUCGGAAUUCCAGGUGUAGCGGUGAAAUGCGUAGAUAUCUGGAAGAACACCGGUGGCGCAAGCGGAUUGCUGGGCCAUAACUGACACUGAGGAACGAAAGCGUGGGGAGCAAACAGG